AGUGCGAUCCUGGCUCAGGAGAACGCUGGCGGCAUGCUAACACAUGCCGUCGAACGGGAAGUGGUGUUUCAGUUGGAGAACGGGUGAGUAACGCGUAAGAACCGCCUUGGGAGGGGCAACAAUGGAAAACGGUUGCUAAUUACCCCGUAGGCGAGGAGCAAAAGGAGCCGAAAUCCGCCAAGGAGGGCUCGCGUCUGAUUAGCUAGUUGGUGAGGCAAUUAGCUUACCAAGGCGAUGAUCAGUAGCUGGUCCGAGAGGAUGAUCAGCCACAACUGGGACUGAGGACACGCCCAGACUCCUACGGGAGGCAAGCAGUGGGGAUUUUCGCAAUGGGCGAAAGCCUGACGGAGGCAAUGCCGCGUGGAGGUGGAAGGCCGACGGGUCGUCAUUAUUUCUCGGAGAAGAAACAAGGACGGUAUCUGAGGAUAAGCAUCGGUAACUCUGUGCCAGCAGCCGACGGUAAGACAGAGGAUGCAAGCGUUUAUCCGGAAUGAUUGGGCGUAAAGCAGUCUGUAGGUGGCUUGUCAAGUCCGCCUCAAAUCCAGGCUCAACCUGGACAGGCGGUUGGAAACUACCAGCUGGAGUACGGUAGGGCAGAGGGAAAUUUCCGGUGGAGCGGUGAAAGCAUGAGAUCGGAAAGAACACCAACGGCGAAAGCACUCUGCUGGGCCGACACUGAACCUGAGAGACGAAAGCUAGGGGAGCAAAGGGGCUUAGAGACCCCAGUAGUCAUAGCCGUAAUAACGAUGGAUACUAGGUGCUGGCGCUGACCCGUGCAGUGCGUAGCUUAACGCGUAAGUAUCCCGCCUGGGGAGUACGUCGCAAGAAUGAAACUCAAAGGAAUUGACGGGGCCCGCACAAGCGGUGGCGCAUCGUGGUUAAUUCGAUGCAAAGCGAGAACCUUACCGGCUUGACAUGCCGGAAUCCUCUUGAAGAGAGGGGUGCCUCGGGAACGCGGACACAGGGGGUGCAUGGCUGUCGUCAGCUCGUUGCCGUAGGUUGGUUAAGUCUCGCAACGAGCGCAACCCUCGUGGUAGUUGGCCCCACUAUGAGUUGGGAACCCUGAACAGCCCGCCGGUGUUAAGCCGGAGGAAGGAGAGGAUGAGGCCAAGUAAUCAUGCCCCUAUGCCCUGGGCGACACACGUGCUACAAUGGGCGGGACAAAGGGUCGCGAUCUCGCGAGGGUGAGCUAACUCCAAAAACCCGUAACGCAGUUCGGCUUUGCCAGGCUGCAAACUCGCCUGCAUUAAGCAGGAAUCGCU
Molecule: ribosomal RNA, 1262 nt
Filed under: Saccharum spontaneum (wild sugarcane)
Lineage: Eukaryota; Viridiplantae; Streptophyta; Magnoliopsida; Poales; Poaceae
Description: bacterial SSU rRNA
Rfam family: Bacterial small subunit ribosomal RNA
Source: RNAcentral